AUAAUACUUCUUCCGUCCAGAAUUACUUGUCGCAGAGAUGGAUAAAAAUUAAUAUAUCUGAAACUAAAAUACAUCUAGGUAUAUUCAUUUUUCUGACAAAUAUUUUCGGAUGGAGGGAGUAUAUA
This is a non-coding RNA of Triticum aestivum (bread wheat), 125 nucleotides long. The record is from Rfam. Lineage: Eukaryota; Viridiplantae; Streptophyta; Magnoliopsida; Poales; Poaceae.